CCUACGGGUGGCAGCAGUGAGGAAUAUUGGUCAAUGGGAGAGAUCCUGAACCAGCCAAGCCGCGUGAGGGAAGACGGCCCUAUGGGUUGUAAACCUCUUUUGUCGGAGAACAAAACCCGGGACGUGUCCCGGACUGCGUGUAUCCGAAGAAAAAGCAUCGGCUAACUCCGUGCCAGCAGCCGCGGUAAUACGGAGGAUGCGAGCGUUAUCCGGAUUUAUUGGGUUUAAAGGGUGCGCAGGCGGCGUGUCAAGUCAGCGGUAAAAUGUCGGGGCUCAACCCCGGCCGGCCGUUGAAACUGGCGUGCUCGAGUUGGAGAGAAGUAUGCGGAAUUCGUGGUGUAGCGGUGAAAUGCAUAGAUAUCACGAAGAACCCCGAUUGCGAAGGCAGCAUACCGGCUCCACACUGACGCUGAGGCACGAAAGCGUGGGUAUCGUACAGGAUUAGAUACCCCGGUAGUC
This 459-nucleotide ribosomal RNA is filed under the name uncultured bacterium. RNAcentral describes it as "partial 16S ribosomal RNA". It matches the Rfam family "Bacterial small subunit ribosomal RNA", at positions 338 to 795 of the family's 1533-position model. The record is from RNAcentral.